GGGGAAAUGGAGUCCCAGAGUCAUCUGUUAACUCAUAGCGAGACAAGCACUUCUCUAAACCGGGCCUUUACACUCCCCCCAGCCCAUAUACUUACUGAUAGAGGGAGGAGGAGAAAUAGUCGACGUAGCUUCCUGUGGGAGAGCAAAGAGGCUAGAGGAGUACUGCACGAGCAAAAUUAGGGGGGCACUCUGUAUGGCGUGCGAGAUUAGUGCUAGCUCCACGCGCUUUUCCCUAAUUCCUUCUUCAAACUGAAUCAUCUUCUACCGGACUCCUUUGAGGGGCACGCCCCUUUUUCGUUCGGGGUGAUUCCGUUAUCCCGUGGCCCCGCCCAUUCGAUUCCUACUUGAGUUGGCCUCGCCCAUUAGGCUGUAGGCCCGCCCCUCAACCCUCCACUGAUUUCUGUCCCUUGGCUUCAGCAACUCCACCAGGGUUCUUCCGGCCAGGUCCCGACCCAAGUGCUCACAACCUUGGCCACGCCUCGCUUCUUGGCCCCGCCCACCAACCAUCCGGGCCAGUCCCUCAGGUUUGGCUCCGCCCCCACCAGGAUCCCCACGCUGGGCCUAGCCCCUGCCUCAGCGUCUCCAAGACUCCCCGCCCCUCAAACCUCGCCCCGCCCAGGCUGGGCUGAAAAGUGGCUGAUCCGGUUUGUCCUGGGCGGGUCUGGAAGCGGAGCCGGCCGGCCGGAGGGAACGCCGGGGCCCGGGGCUACAGGAGGUUGCGGGGCCACGGCAGAAUGGUGGUGCCGGAGAAGGAGCAGAGCUGGAUCCCCAAGAUCUUCAAGAAGAAGACCUGCACGACGUUCAUAGUCGACUCCACAGAUCCGGGAGGGACCUGGUGCCAGUGUGGGCGCCCCCGGACCACCCACCCCGCUGUGGCCACAGAGGACGCCUUUGGGGCAGCCGUGGUGACCGUGUGGGACAGUGAUGUGCACACCACGGAGAAGCCCACAGACGCCUACGGAGAGCUGGACUUCAUGGGGACCAGCCGAAGGCACAGCCAUUUUCUCCGGCUCUCUGACCGAACGGAUCCAGCUACAGUUUAUAAUCUGGUCACACGCAUGUGGGGCUUCCGUGCCCCAAACCUAGUGGUGUCAGUGAUGGGGGGAUCAGGGGGCCCUGUCCUCCAGACCUGGCUGCAGGACCUGCUGCGUCGUGGGCUGGUGCGGGCUGCCCAGAGCACAGGGGCCUGGAUCGUCACUGGGGGCCUGCACACUGGCAUUGGCCGGCAUGUGGGCGUGGCUGUGCGCGACCAUCAGACGGCCAGCACUGGAGGCACCAAGGUGGUGGCCAUGGGCGUGGCCCCCUGGGGUGUGGUCCAGAAAAGAGACAUCCUCACCAACCCCAAGGGCUCGUUCCCCGCACAGUAUGAUUGGCGCCACGACCCGAAGGACGGGGUCCAGUUUCCCCUGGACUACAACUACUCGGCCUUCUUCCUGGUGGACGACGGCACGCAUGGCCGUCUGGGGGGCGAGAACCGCUUCCGCUUGCGCUUGGAGUCCUACAUCUCCCAGCAGAAGGCGGGUGUGGGGGGGACUGGAAUUGACAUCCCUGUCCUGCUCCUCCUGAUUGAUGGUGAUGAGAAGAUGUUGAUGCAAAUAGAGAAUGCCACCCAGGCCCAGCUCCCCUGUCUCCUGGUGGCUGGCUCUGGAGGGGCUGCAGACUGCCUGGCAGAGACCUUGGAAGACACUCUGGCCCUCGGGAGUGGGGGAGCCAGGCAAGGUGAAAUCCAAGAUCGAAUCCGGCGUUUCUUUCCCAAAGGGGACCCUGAGGUCCUGCGGGCCCAGGUGGAGAGGAUUAUGACCCGGAAGGAGCUCCUGACAGUCUAUUCUUCUGAGGAUGGGGCUGAGGAAUUCGAGACCAUAGUUUUGAAGGCCCUCGUGAAGGCCUGUGGAAGCUCAGAGGCCUCAGCUUACCUGGACGAGCUGCGUUUGGCUGUGGCUUGGAACCGCGUGGACAUUGCCCAGAGCGAACUCUUUCGGGGGGACAUCCAGUGGCGGUCCUUCCAUCUCGAGGCCUCCCUCAUGGACGCCCUGCUGAAUGACCGGCCGGAGUUCGUGCGCUUGCUCAUCUCCCAUGGCCUCAGCCUGGGCCACUUCCUGACCCCGACACGCCUGGCCCAACUCUAUAGCGCAGCGCCCCCCAACUCGCUCAUCCACAACCUUUUGGACCAGGCGUCCCACGGUGCAGGCACCAAAGCCCUAGCUCUAAAAGGGGAAGCUGUGGAGCCCCGGCUCCCUGAUGUGGGGCACGUGCUGAGGAUGCUUCUGGGGAAGAUGUGUGCACCGAGAUACCCCGCCAGGGGCACCGCGGAACCUCACCCAGGCCAGGGCUUCGAGGAGAGUAAGUUUCUACUCCAGGACAAGGCCCCCUCAAGGUCCUCGCUGGACGCUGGCCUUGGGCAGGCCUCCUGGGGUGACCUGCUCCUUUGGGCGCUGCUGCUGAACAGGGCACAGAUGGCCAUGUACUUCUGGGAGAAGGGUUCCAAUGCAGUUUCCUCUGCUCUUGGGGCCUGUUUGCUGCUCCGGGUGAUGGCACGCCUGGAGCCUGAUGCUGAGGAGGCAGCGCGGAGGAAAGACCUGGCAAUCAAGUUUGAGGGGAUGGGCGUUGACCUCUAUGGUAAGUGCUAUCACAGCAGUGAGGUAAGGGCUGCCCGCCUCCUCUUCCGUCGCUGCCCGCUCUGGGGGGAUGCCACUUGCCUCCAGCUGGCCAUGCAAGCUGAUGCCCGUGCCUUCCUUGCCCAGGAUGGAGUACAGUCUCUGCUGACACAGAAGUGGUGGGGAGACAUAGACAUCACCACACCCAUCUGGGCCCUGAUUCUCGCCUUCUUUUGCCCCCCACUCAUCUAUACCCACCUCAUCACCUUCAGGAAAUCAGAAGAGGAGCCCAUACAGGAGGAUCUGGAGUCUGACCUGGACAGUGCUGCUAAUGGGGAAGGGCCUGUCAGGCUGGAGGACCCCGCGGAGAGGACGUCACUGGGGGUCGCACGCCAGCCGGGCCGCCGGGGCUGCUGCGUGGGGCACGGGUUCCUGCGCCGCUGGGUGCAAUUCUGGUGCGCUCCGGUGACGGUCUUCAUGGGCAACGUGGUCAGCUACCUGCUGUUCCUGCUGCUGUUUGCGCGGGUGCUGCUCGUGGACUUCCAGCCCUCGCCGCCCGGCGGCCUGGAGCUGCUGCUCUACUUCUGGGCUUUCACGCUGCUGUGCGAGGAGCUGCGCCAGGGCCUGAGCGGGGGCUGGGGCAGCCUGGCCAGUGGGGGCCCCGGGCCUGGUCAUGCCUCGCUGCGCCAGCGCCUGCAGCUCUACCUCGCCGACAGCUGGAACCAGUGCGACCUAGUGGCCCUCACCUGCUUCCUCCUGGGCGUAGGCUGCCGGCUGACCCCAGGUUUGUACGACCUGGGCCGCGCUGUCUUCUGCCUCGACUUCAUGGUUUUCACGCUGCGGCUGCUGCACAUCUUCACAGUCAACAAACAGCUGGGGCCCAAGAUCGUCAUCGUGAACAAGAUGGUGAAGGAUGUGUUCUUCUUUCUCUUCUUCCUCGGCGUGUGGUUAGUGGCCUAUGGCGUGGCCACGGAGGGGCUCCUAAGGCCCCAGGACAGUGACCUCCCAAGUAUCCUGCGCCGUGUCUUCUACCGUCCCUACCUGCAGAUCUUCGGGCAGAUCCCCCAGGAAGACAUGGACGUGGCCCUCAUGGAGCACAGCAACUGCUCAUCAGAGCCCGGCUUCUGGGCGCACCCUUCCGGGACCCAGGCGGGCACCUGCGUCUCCCAGUAUGCCAACUGGCUGGUGGUGCUGCUCCUCGUCAUCUUCCUGCUUGUGGCCAACAUCCUGCUGGUCAACCUGCUCAUCGCCAUGUUCAGCUACACGUUCGGCAAAGUACAGGGCAACAGCGACCUCUACUGGAAGUCGCAACGCUACCGCCUCAUCCGGGAAUUCCACUCUCGGCCCGCGCUGGCCCCGCCCCUUAUCAUCAUCUCCCACUCGCGCCUCCUGCUCAGGAAAUUGUGCCGGAGCUCCCGGAGCACCCAGGCGGUCAUCGGGGAUUUCCGAGUCCCUCUUUCUAAGGAAGCCGAGCGGAAGCUGCUGACUUGGGAAUCGGUGCAAAAGGAGAACUUCCUGCUGGCACGCGCUCGGGACAAGCGGGACAGCGACUCCGAGCGUCUGAAGCGCACGUCGCAGAAGUCCAGCACUGUAGCCGCGUCCUGGGGUGGAUGGCCGAGGCCCUGAGCCGCUCUGCCUUGCUGCCCCCAGGAGGGCCGCCACCCCCCGAUCUGCCUGGGCCCAAAGACUGAGCCCUGCUGGCGGACUUCAAGGAGAAGCCCGCUCUAGGGUUUUGCUCCCAGAGUAAGGCUCAUCUGGGCCUCCGCCCCUGCACCUGGUGGCCUUGUACUUGAGGUGAGCCCCGCGCCCAUCUGGGCCGCUGUCGGGACCACCUUUGGGAGUGUCAUCCAUACCAACCACAGCAUGCAGCUCCUCCCAGAACCAGCCGAAGCCUGGGAGGAGGAAGUCCUGGAGACCCGGCUGUAGUCCAGGGACAGGCUGGAGGGUCCUUGGGGUAACGGGGACCACAGACCCCACUCGCAGAUUCCUCACACUGGGGAAAUAAAGCCAUCUGAUGGGAA
This is an RNA transcript of Callithrix jacchus (white-tufted-ear marmoset), 4615 nucleotides long. It is a transcript of the gene named transient receptor potential cation channel subfamily M member 4, with no coding region annotated. Lineage: Eukaryota; Metazoa; Chordata; Mammalia; Primates; Cebidae. The record is from RefSeq and is a predicted model, not a curated record.